ACCAUCACAUAUUUUUUUUCUUUCUAGAUUUGACUUCAGAUAAAUGUCACACUGCAGUAAAGAUAUUUUAAGAAUUACUCAGUAAUCAAACCAUGUGAGUUCAAUGGUCUAUAAGCUUGGAAUCUUAAGAAAUUACUGAUGAUGACAUUGGCUGCCUCAGUUUUAGGAGCUGCUGGAAAUAGCCACUAAUCAAGAGAAAGAGAGAAGGACUAGCCCUGAAUAAUUGGUCAACGAUGCUGAUUUUGUUGGUUUCCUGUUUCUUUUGCUUCCUGGAAAAUACAGAGCAAAUAUUGCAUGUGGGUUGAUGCUACAGCAUCGUCUGAACUUGGAAGGAUGAUCAUGCAUUCUGAUGCCUUGUGGUCUCACUACAGGUCCAAUUUUCAUGUGUUUUAGGAGUCUUGGGAUUAGGUUAUGUACUCUGACUCUGGGCAAAUGGAAACACCAGGUGUGUAAGAUACAGAACUGUAGAAAUCCAAAGAAGGAAAUACCUUUAAGGGAAGCUCUCCAUGGAAACCUAUCAAGCCAUGAAUCUGAAGCAUGCUAAGUGGCUUCUGCUAAAGCCACAUCAGUGGAAAGGUUUAUCACUUAACAACGUCUGCACAUGGAAUGUCAUAAUUCUGUGGGAACUACAGCCAACGACUCAUAGGUUUUCCGGACAACUACACAAAUGUUUUCUUUUACUGUGAUACUUAAAGUAUUUGACUUUUAAUUCUGAAAUUUUCUCUCAUGCCUCCACAUCUGAAAUAAUUCAACGCUAUCUUUAUUUGAAGUCUCUCCUGGUUAGCAAGCUGGCUGGUGGUGAUGUAUCACAUACAGUGGUUUCUGUGAUGUGGGCUGCUGACUAUGGAAAGAUGAAUGAAGAUCACAAUCACAUUAAGUUUGGGGACUAUGGUCAGACUUAAACCAUUAUCCUUGAGGUGUAUGGCUGUUGAUUUAUCAAUGUCCUCAUUUUUAUGAAGGAAAUCUUCUCAAGGUUGCUGUAUGCUCUGUGUGUGUUGUAUGUCAAAUAAGGUAUAAUGUUAUGUUCUCUCAUAACUUCAUAAAUAAGAAUGUAUUGCUUUGAGAGAUGGAAUAAAAUGACAAGUUUUAUUUGGCAUCUAUAUAUUUAAGAGGUCAUGAAGAGAUUAAUGAUUGUUGGCCACUGGUCAAAUUUCUUUGAUGUACACUAUUUUUUUCCACUAAAAUUCUGCACUUGCCAGUCCCUGGAUGAGUUACUCACACAUUUAUAUACAUAAAUUAUGGUACAUUUAUUACAUCAUUUCCAACCUAGCUGGAUAAAAGCACGGUGGGAUUUUUUCCCUGUGUGCAAUUUCCAUUUUGGUGGCAUUUCUGCUUCCUAAUAAAUUCCAGACAGUCAAAGUCGACACCCAAAUUCUGUUUUUAUGUAUUUCAGCUUUCUGGAUUCAGCCACACUUUGUUUGGGAGAUGUCCUACUGGGAAGUUACUUAGAUUUAUGAAUAUUUGAUGAGCUUUUUUCAGAAAUGGGG
Molecule: long non-coding RNA, 1487 nt
Filed under: Macaca mulatta (Rhesus monkey)
Lineage: Eukaryota; Metazoa; Chordata; Mammalia; Primates; Cercopithecidae
Description: lncRNA (ENSMMUG00000052321.1)
Source: RNAcentral